UAGGAUAUAGUAUAAUGGCUAACGAUGCCGCCUCUCAUGCGGCAGCUCGGGGUUCGAUUCCCUGUAUCCGAA
RNAcentral lists this transfer RNA (72 nucleotides) under Armillaria ostoyae. It matches the Rfam family "tRNA". Rfam says of the family: Transfer RNA (tRNA) molecules are approximately 80 nucleotides in length. Lineage: Eukaryota; Fungi; Basidiomycota; Agaricomycetes; Agaricales; Physalacriaceae. The record is from RNAcentral.